UACGUAGGGGGCAGGCGUUGUCCGGAUUUAUUGGGCGUAAAGAGCGUGUAGGCGGCUUUACAGGUCCGUUGUGAAAACUCGAGGCUCAACCUCGAGACGCCGGUGGAAACCGUAAGGCUAGAGUCCGGAAGAGGAGAGUGGAAUUCCUGGUGUAGCGGUGAAAUGCGCAGAUAUCAGGAAGAACACCCGUGGCGAAGGCGGCUCUCUGGGACGGUACUGACGCUGAGACGCGAAAGCGUGGGGAGCAAAACGG
This 253-nucleotide ribosomal RNA is filed under the name uncultured bacterium. RNAcentral describes it as "partial 16S ribosomal RNA". It matches the Rfam family "Bacterial small subunit ribosomal RNA", at positions 524 to 776 of the family's 1533-position model. The record is from RNAcentral.